UACGGAGGGUGCAAGCGUUAUCCGGAUUCACUGGGUUUAAAGGGUGCGUAGGCGGGCAGGUAAGUCAGUGGUGAAAUCCUAGAGCUUAACUCUAGAACUGCCAUUGAUACUAUCUGUCUUGAAUAUUGUGGAGGUAAGCGGAAUAUGUCAUGUAGCGGUGAAAUGCUUAGAUAUGACAUAGAACACCUAUUGCGAAGGCAGCUUACUACGCAUAUAUUGACGCUGAGGCACGAAAGCGUGGGGAUCAAACAGGAUUAGAUACCCUGGUAGUCCACGCCCUAAACGAUGAUUACUCGACAUUUGUGAUACACUAUAAGUGUCUGAGCGAAAGCAUUAAGUAAUCCACCUGGGAAGUACGACCGCAAGGUUG
Molecule: ribosomal RNA, 370 nt
Filed under: uncultured bacterium
Lineage: Bacteria
Description: bacterial SSU rRNA
Rfam family: Bacterial small subunit ribosomal RNA
Source: RNAcentral